GUAACCCAAAAUCAUCAAAUACAAAUAUUUGUUUGUGCACGUUGUUCUUGUCUCUUUCGUUUCAGGAAAUUUUCGUGUUCACAAUAAGAGACAGGCAUUCUAGCUAGUUUAUGGGCGACUUUAUUUAGUCUAUGAAUUGUAUAAUAUAAACGGAUUUUUAAUGUCAUUUUUCAUAAGAUUUGAUGUCCACUAAAAUAAAAAUAUAUCUACCUUUAUAUUAAAGGAAAAUUAAUGAAAAAAAAACUUGAAAACUUUGAGUUUUAACGAUAAGGACCAAAUAAUAGAUAAAGUGAAUAGUACCAGGACUAUUUUUUAGCGUAAAAAUGUGGUUUUUCGUUAAAGUGAACAGUACCGAGAGUCUUUCAUUAAAGUUCCAUUCUAUUAAUCCUUCUAAAACAAUAUUAUAUAGGGGUUUUUUUAACUUUAAUCCUUCAAGAAGAUUGAAAUUAAAAUAAACCUGGUGUUAGAUUAUAUAUUGAUUAUAGUCUCUUGAUGUGUCCUUAAUUCAAAAUAAUUAAUGUGCAUUUUAUUUAAUAUCUCUCAUUAAAUGUUUAAAUUUAUUAAUAUAAAAAUUUUAAUUUAUUUUUUGAACAAUAAAAGUUUU
Molecule: long non-coding RNA, 604 nt
Filed under: Malus domestica (apple)
Lineage: Eukaryota; Viridiplantae; Streptophyta; Magnoliopsida; Rosales; Rosaceae
Description: long non-coding RNA (MDOM_LNC003261)
Source: RNAcentral